RNAcentral lists this ribosomal RNA (1595 nucleotides) under metagenome. RNAcentral's name for it is "bacterial LSU rRNA". It matches the Rfam family "Bacterial large subunit ribosomal RNA", at positions 1305 to 2925 of the family's 2925-position model. The record is from RNAcentral.
AGUAGCGAGAGGAAGGUGGGAAUCCUUCCGGCCGAAUAUCUAAGGUUUCCAGAGUAAAGCUGAUCUGCUCUGGGUAAGUCGGGGCCUAAGGCGAGGUCGAAAGACGUAGUCGAUGGAUAACAGGUUGAAAUUCCUGUACUAUCCUGUAACAGAACUGUGGGGACACAGGCAGAGAGCGUGAGCCGGGAAUGGAAAGACCGGUACAAGCGAGGUAGGAGAAGAGUUGGCAAAUCCGCUCUUUAAUCUGAAGACGUGAUGUGGACUGAAAAUAAGUAGGGAAGCACGUGAGCUGACUGUCAAGAAAAGCCGCUAUUGUUUGCAGGAUACCCGUACCGUAAACCGACACAGGUGGAUGAGGAGAGAAUCCUAAGGCCGACGGGAGAAGCAUUGUUAAGGAACUCGGCAAAAUGACUCCGUAACUUCGGGAGAAGGAGUGCCAGUAAGAUGGCCGCAGAGAAUUGGCCCAAGCAACUGUUUAGCAAAAACACAGGUCUAUGCAAAACCGAAAGGUGAGGUAUAUGGGCUGACGCCUGCCCGGUGCUGGAAGGUUAAGGGGAGAGGUUAGCGCAAGCGAAGCUUUGAACUUAAGCCCCAGUAAACGGCGGCCGUAACAAUAACGGUCCUAAGGUAGCGAAAUUCCUUGUCGGGUAAGUUCCGACCCGCACGAAAGGCGUAAUGAUUUGGGCACUGUCUCAACAAUGCACCCGGUGAAAUUGAAAUACCAGUGAAGAUGCUGGUUACCUGCGCCAGGACGGAAAGACCCCAUGGAGCUUUACUCCAGCUUGAUACUGGGAUUCGGUAUUGCAUGUACAGGAUAGGUGGGAGGCUAGGAAAUGGUAACGCCAGUUGCCAUGGAGCCAAUGUUGGGAUACCACCCUUGCAGUACUGGGUUUCUAACCAGCAGCCGUGAUCCGGCUGGGGGACAAUGUCAGGUGGGGAGUUUGACUGGGGCGGUCGCCUCCGAAAGGGUAUCGGAGGCGCUCAAAGGUUCCCUCAGAAUGGUUGGAAACCAUUCGAAGAGUGCAAAGGCAGAAGGGAGCUUGACUGCGACACCGACGGGUGGAGCAGGUACGAAAGUAGGACUUAGUGAUCCGGUGGUAUAAAGUGGGAUUGCCAUCGCUCAACGGAUAAAAGCUACCCUGGGAUAACAGGCUUAUCACUCCCAAGAGUUCACAUCGACGGAGUGGUUUGGCACCUCGAUGUCGGCUCAUCGCAUCCUGGGGCUGAAGUAGGUCCCAAGGGUUGGGCUGUUCGCCCAUUAAAGCGGUACGCGAGCUGGGUUCAGAACGUCGUGAGACAGUUCGGUCCCUAUCCGGCGUGGGCGUAAGAUAUUUGAGAGGAGCUGUCCUUAGUACGAGAGGACCGGGAUGGACUGGCCGCUGGUGUAUCUGUUGUCUUACCAAAGGCAUAGCAGAGUAGCCAAGCCGGGAAGGGAUAAACGCUGAAGGCAUCUAAGCGUGAAACCCCCCUCAAGAUGAGAUAUCUCAUAACGUCAAGUUAGUAAGACCCCUUGAAGACGACGAGGUAGAUAGGGCAGAGGUGGAAGUGUGGUAACACAUGGAGCUGACUGUUACUAAUAGGUCGAGGGCGUAACC